AAUCUCAUAAUUUUACCAAUACAGAAGAAGUAUAUAAGCCUUUAGCAAAAAUUCUAUAUCGCUAUUUACAUCAAUCACUUGGAUUUACCAAUAAUUUUUUCUACAAGUUAAAGAAAAAAUACAACGUAAAAUAUUCAAUAUCAAAUUAAAGAAUGAGAAGAGUCAAACUAUAUAUCAAAGAAUUAAUUAUCUAAAACAUUUCAUUUCAUCUAUAUAUUCAUUGAAGAUGAGCCUUGGAUCAACCGUAAAGUAGUCUCCGUAUGAUCUAUAUAGGUCAUGAGUUCGACCCGUAGAAUCAACCAUUAACACUUGCUCAUAUAGGAUGCGAUCCUUUUCUCGACCAUGUGUGACAAGGAAUCAUGCACUGAAUUAUCCUUUUUUUCCCAUCUAUAUAUCCAUGAUCAUCAAAACGAAGGUUUUACUUCACCUCCUUAGCUUUCUUGGACGCCACGGAAGCUCUAUAAUGAUCAUCAACGAAAAGCCAAUCAUGCACGUUGAUAGACAUGCCCAUCGACCCUAGGAAAAGUCGAUCAUACACUGAUUGAAGAACAAGAAUUAAGAAAAAUGGAACAAUUUGAGUUUAGACUUGCUCUGGGCAUGGAGCGAAAAUUUGAAGUUUAUGGGCAGGAGCCAUUGCCACGUUGAUCAGGAAUGUUGGUGCAAGAAGAAGAACCAGAUGAUGGAACUUGACCUCUUGGCAACGAUGUCAUCAAUUCAAACACACCCAUAGGCCUAGAUGCUUUUGCUAAUAAUAAGAUAUUUUGAGAUAGAAUAAUGCAGACAAUAAUAAGAAAUAAUGAAAUGAAUCUUCUAACUGAAUCCAUUGUUUUUGGAAGCAGACAAAUAUUUGGAGGUUGUUGGAAUAAUGAGAAUAAUAA
This 878-nucleotide long non-coding RNA is filed under the name Nicotiana benthamiana. RNAcentral's name for it is "long non-coding RNA (NBEN_LNC008884)". Lineage: Eukaryota; Viridiplantae; Streptophyta; Magnoliopsida; Solanales; Solanaceae. The record is from RNAcentral.